GGGUGACGAGUGGCGGACGGGUGAGUAAUGUCUGGGAAACUGCCCGAUGGAGGGGGAUAACUACUGGAAACGGUAGCUAAUACCGCAUAACGUCGCAAGACCAAAGAGGGGGACCUUCGGGCCUCUUGCCAUCGGAUGUGCCCAGAUGGGAUUAGCUAGUAGGUGGGGUAACGGCUCACCUAGGCGACGAUCCCUAGCUGGUCUGAGAGGAUGACCAGCCACACUGGAACUGAGACACGGUCCAGACUCCUACGGGAGGCAGCAGUGGGGAAUAUUGCACAAUGGGCGCAAGCCUGAUGCAGCCAUGCCGCGUGUAUGAAGAAGGCCUUCGGGUUGUAAAGUACUUUCAGCGAGGAGGAAGGCGUUGUGGUUAAUAACCGCAACGAUUGACGUUACUCGCAGAAGAAGCACCGGCUAACUCCGUGCCAGCAGCCGCGGUAAUACGGAGGGUGCAAGCGUUAAUCGGAAUUACUGGGCGUAAAGCGCACGCAGGCGGUCUGUCAAGUCGGAUGUGAAAUCCCCGGGCUCAACCUGGGAACUGCAUCCGAAACUGGCAGGCUAGAGUCUUGUAGAGGGGGGUAGAAUUCCAGGUGUAGCGGUGAAAUGCGUA
This 610-nucleotide ribosomal RNA is filed under the name Citrobacter sp. Its description in RNAcentral is "bacterial SSU rRNA". It matches the Rfam family "Bacterial small subunit ribosomal RNA", at positions 86 to 692 of the family's 1533-position model. Lineage: Bacteria; Pseudomonadati; Pseudomonadota; Gammaproteobacteria; Enterobacterales; Enterobacteriaceae. The record is from RNAcentral.